CCCAAGCCUAACCUCAGAUGUUCUUCAGGGAUAGACUCUCCACAACCUUCCUGGGCAACCUGUUGCAUUGCUCCAUUAGCCUCACAGUAAAGAACUUCUUCCUAAUGUCCAACCUAAAUCUACCCUGAAUGUCCAAUCAAAAAUCACAAACAAUAUAUUCAGAACAUUUGUCUCAAACACUCAAAAUAGCCAUAAUUGUCUAACAGUUUGGAUUGUGGAUUAUCUUUACAGAGGAUGUCAUUGUGGUAGUUAUAUUUAAACUUGGUGUAUCUCAGAUGAAAAAUUUCAGGAAAGAAGAAAAGUUAAUGUUUUAAAGCUUUAAGAAAUAAGAAUGUAAGGCUGAAACCACAUCUACCCAAACUUAGUCUUAUUUUGACUAUAAUAAUCUUCUAUUUAAGUAGUAUUCUCAAUUACAUAUAGAUUCACUGGCACCAAGAAGAUGGAAAAGUAAUGCUUUUGCCCUUGUUGGUUAAGAACAACAUAAAAUAGGUCUGUUCAUUUGUUCAGCUUGCAGUGGAGCUUAAAUUUUGUGUAAUGAAAGUGUUAAUUGAAGAGGAAUGGCAGCUGAAAUAGCAGCCAUCACAUACAAAUAUAUUGAUGAAUAUUUGGGAUGUAUCUAUUUCUCCAGGGAUUCCUGUACAAGUUCUGUUAGAAGAACCAUAGGCUCUACAAGGAGAAGUGGCAGAAACAGUUACAGUGGAACCAGCUUGAUGUUGAGUUACUGAUUUGCCAAGUAAGUGUGUGUUAAAUGGAACAAAAAAAAAUCUCCCUGGACACAACAGGACAUAAUGGGAUGUGACAAAGAGGCUCUGAGGGGUCUCCUUCUCUGGAGACUUUCAAGGCCUGUCUGGAUGUGUUACUCUGUGUUAGAUAGCAUUGUCCUGCUCUGGCAGGGGGGUUGGACUCGGUGAUCUCCUUGGGUCCCUUCCAACCCCUAACAUCCUGUGAUCCUGUGAUGUAGGCUUAAACCCACAACAAAGUAGCAAAAAAAAUUGCUAGGACAGAAAAACCCAGAAAGUGCUCUGAGUUGUCUGCUGAAAGACCAUCUUUUGCUGCUUGUCUGCUGUAUUGCCUGUCUUCAUAUACCUGGCAACAGCCAAAAGUUUAUAAGCAAGUCAAAACAUUAAGAUAACCUUGCAAGAUGAGUGGUAGUUCACUUCUCAGGGAAGUGGGGUCAAACAACAUUGAUGACCUUUUGUGCAGACUUCCCUCACAGUUAAAGCUAAGAUGAUUUCUGUAGCUGAUGUAUGUUAACUUUUGUGUGAAUUCCCUCAUUAAGUUUCUCAUCUGCUGUGGCAUCUGUUAAACCAGAAAGAAUUGAAACUAGUUCUACUUUUCUAGGACACUGUUGCAGUGAUUUAGUGGAUCUUGUGUAGCCUGAACUUCUACACAGCCAGGGGCAAAGAUAAGAAGGGAUUAUGUGCAGGUCUUCAAAUGCAGGUAUUUGCAAACCCACAGGUGAAGAGCCGCGGGCACUUUAAUCUUGGUGAGUCCACAGGUGAUGUGCUUUUGGACUCCCUCCAUUUCCAGCAUAACAAAACUUGUAGAGCAAAUCAAAAAGCCACACACAGGAUGAGAAGUGAGACAUGAUCAGCACCUCAGCUCUCUGCUUCAGAUUGGGAUGCCCUUCAUGUUGAUCUGUGUAGUAGGUGCUUACUAGAUCUACACAAAAUUCUGGGCCUUUGGCAUGCCGGUCUUCACAUCACUGUGGCACCAGUUUGUGCUUCAAAAUCACCCUUGCCAUUAGUGCUGCAACCAAAUGUCAAAUGAGUGCCAUAGCUCUGAAACCUGACUUGACUACUGAACUUCAAGCAAUUGAGAAAUGUAAUGGAACCUAAUCAAGUUAAUUCCUGAAUUUAUAUCCAGAGUGAAUUUCACUAAAACCUUUCCCCCAGGAGGCUUGGGAAGCAGAGUAAAAGCUGUAUGGAGACAGAAGGAGCUCAAAUACCUGAAAAUGGGAGAAGGAAGAAGAAUGUGGUUGUGCUGUGUGGAAGUCAAGGAUUUAAAAACUAAACACAGAUAGUUUAGGCCAUUUUUCCCUGUUGUUUGGGAGCCAGAAGAGGCUAAAUCACUGCCAUUUGGAAAUGCUUAAAUGCUAUCACUCUAAGAGCAAUUUCUUCACUGUUGUGGCUUUUUCCACAGACAUCAGCCUGUGGAAGUGUCAGCAGAUUAGCAGUUGGACGCCUCUUACAGCCACAAUAAAACCUCAAUAAAAAGGCAAAAAUAACAACUAAAGGUAAAUGAAUGCCAUGUUAGAAUCAUUACCUUUAUCCUUAGCUCUCCUUGAGUUUAAUCUUGUGUCAGGCUUUCCACUAUUUUUUAAAGGACAACUGUCAGGCAAAAUGGAGUAUUGUAACCUGGCUCUGUAAUGUUUUUAAACUUGGAAAAAAAUGUAUCUUAGGCAUUCCUUUUUAACAUUUAAUAUUCCCUUUGCCUGCCAGUGAGCCAGCUGUGAUGGGAUUUUAACCAAAUUGUAUUGUCUUGAUUAUAAAUGGCCUUUUAGCCACCAAAUAAACUCUUCUGUAAGACAGAGUAA
Long non-coding RNA from Pogoniulus pusillus (Red-fronted tinkerbird), 2536 nucleotides. RefSeq lists it as uncharacterized. The transcript has 2 exons. Lineage: Eukaryota; Metazoa; Chordata; Aves; Piciformes; Lybiidae. The record is from RefSeq and is a predicted model, not a curated record.